AAGUCAGGAUCCAGGUGUGCGUCCCACGGCGGGGAGCCCGUCACACACCUGGUGCUGAGGGGCCGGCACCGCACUCGGUCGGGCUGCGAACGGGCCGCGACUCCAAGAAACGCGCGACCAGGGCGGCGUCUGGGAGCGCCCCGCGCCUCCCGCAGCCGCCGGGUCCGCACCGCGCCGCGCCGCGGGCCGCCUCGUGCACGGCCUCGCCCAGGCCGACCGGCCCCGACACUGUGCGCCGCUCCCGGCAGCCCGAGCUCCAGCGCUCACGGCCAGCGGGCCCUCGGCCCUCAGUGCCGAGCAGCGGGGCCGGGAGCCGGGAGCCGGGAGCCGGGGCCGCACCCCCACGCGGGAGUUGGCGCCCGCCCGCCGCUCGCAGCCCAAGUUUUGCGCCAGGACCCGCCGCCGGGGACGCCGGUGGCUGCGCCCGACGCGAGCCCCCACCGUGGCACCAAGUUGCCAACUCCGGGGGCAACUGAAAACCGAGGCCGCUCCCCCGCAGCCCCAGCGGCCCCGUCACGCGCCGCCCUCCCCGCUCCCCGCUGCCCGCUCCCCCCGGCCCGCGCGGCCUCCCGGGGCGGGGCGGGGCGGGGCGGGGGCGCGGCCUGGGCCUCCCGACCCGCCGGGGCCGAGCCCACGGCCAGGACCGACCGACCGACCGGCCGGCGCGGCCCGGGGGGGAGGGGGGGGCGGGGGGAGCCGCGCAGGCCCCGCGCCGCCGCCCCAGGCCUCGCCGAGCCCCGGCCUCUCGCCGGCGGGGCCGCGGGCAACAAAGGCGGAGGCCCGGCCGGCGCGCGGCGCACCGGGAGGCCGAGGGGUCGCGCGGCGCUCGGCGGAAGCAGGCCUCGGCCCUCCGCGCCCGGCCCCCGCCCGGCCCGGCCUCCCCGGCGCCGCUCCCCGCCGGCCGGGCCUCGCGCGGGGACCUCGGCUGCAGGCGCGCCGGCCGGGCCGCCUCCCCGACCCCGGGCCGCGCGACGGGAGAAGCGGCCCCCGCCCCGGCCUCGCGGCCGACGCGGCGGAAAGCGAAGCCCAGACCAGCCUCCGACGCGGCUCCGCGGACGCUCACCCGGCGGCGGCCCGCUCCGCUUCCUCGCCCAGCGCCGGCGCGACUGCCGCGCUCGGCCCUCCUCUCCCGCAACUCCUCCUCCCGCCUCCUUCCUCCUCCUCCUCCUCCUCCUCCUCCUCCUCCUCCUCCUCCUCCUCCAGGAGGGGCGCGCGGCGGCGGCGGCGGCGGCGGCGGCUGGGCCCGAGCGCCGGGCGGGAGCGGAGGAGCCGAGCGGGCCGCCCCGCGCCCUCCAGUCGGCCCGUGGCGCAGGCGGGCGUCCGGGCGCGGGGGGCGGGGCGGGGCGGGCCGAGCGGGGGCGCGGGGGCGGCCGAGGGCGCGGGGGGCGGGGGGCGGGGCGGGGCGGCCGAGGGCGCGGGGGUCGGAGCGGCGUCCGGCCCUGGGCCCCCCGCCCGAGCGGCUGCCUCCCCGCCCCUCUCCCCCUCCCCUCCCCCCCCCCCCCCCCCGGCGCGGGGAAGCCCUCGGGGCCCGGGGCUCCGGCUCCCCCUCCGCGCGGCGGCGAAGCGCACCUGGCGGCGGCCCUGGCCCGGGCGCAGCGGGCUCCUGGCGGCACCGGGGCCCGGGGAGGGAGCCCGUCCUUCCUUCCCCGCCCCUUCUGCAGCCUCAUGGCGAAGCUGGCCUGGGCGCGAGCCCGCCGCUUGCCCCCCGCCGGCCACUUCUCCCCUCGGCGCUUGAGCGUUUCACCCCGCGGAGCGCGGUGCGCGAUGCUCCGCCGCUGGGUCUCACGGCGGCUGAUGGAAAGUUGCGUCGUGGGCAGCUUGACUCACUUCUUUGGAAACUGA
This 1842-nucleotide long non-coding RNA is filed under the name Canis lupus familiaris (dog). Its description in RNAcentral is "lncRNA (ENSCAFG00040000694.1)". The record is from RNAcentral. Lineage: Eukaryota; Metazoa; Chordata; Mammalia; Carnivora; Canidae.